AGAGUUUGAUCCUGGCUCAGAUUGAACGCUGGCGGCAUGCUUUACACAUGCAAGUCGGACGGCAGCACAGGGAAGCUUGCUUCUCGGGUGGCGAGUGGCGAACGGGUGAGUAACAUAUCGGAACGUACCGGGUAGCGGGGGAUAACUGAUCGAAAGAUCAGCUAAUACCGCAUACGUCUUGAGAGGGAAAGCAGGGGACCUUCGGGCCUUGCGCUAUCCGAGCGGCCGAUAUCUGAUUAGCUGGUUGGCGGGGUAAAGGCCCACCAAGGCGACGAUCAGUAGCGGGUCUGAGAGGAUGAUCCGCCACACUGGGACUGAGACACGGCCCAGACUCCUACGGGAGGCAGCAGUGGGGAAUUUUGGACAAUGGGCGCAAGCCUGAUCCAGCCAUGCCGCGUGUCUGAAGAAGGCCUUCGGGUUGUAAAGGACUUUUGUCAGGGAAGAAAAGGCCGUUGCCAAUAUCGGCGGCCGAUGACGGUACCUGAAGAAUAAGCACCGGCUAACUACGUGCCAGCAGCCGCGGUAAUACGUAGGGUGCGAGCGUUAAUCGGAAUUACUGGGCGUAAAGCGGGCGCAGACGGUUACUUAAGCAGGAUGUGAAAUCCCCGGGCUCAACCCGGGAACUGCGUUCUGAACUGGGUGACUCGAGUGUGUCAGAGGGAGGUGGAAUUCCACGUGUAGCAGUGAAAUGCGUAGAGAUGUGGAGGAAUACCGAUGGCGAAGGCAGCCUCCUGGGAUAACACUGACGUUCAUGUCCGAAAGCGUGGGUAGCAAACAGGAUUAGAUACCCUGGUAGUCCACGCCCUAAACGAUGUCAAUUAGCUGUUGGGCAACUUGAUUGCUUGGUAGCGUAGCUAACGCGUGAAAUUGACCGCCUGGGGAGUACGGUCGCAAGAUUAAAACUCAAAGGAAUUGACGGGGACCCGCACAAGCGGUGGAUGAUGUGGAUUAAUUCGAUGCAACGCGAAGAACCUUACCUGGUUUUGACAUGUGCGGAAUCCUCCGGAGACGGAGGAGUGCCUUCGGGAGCCGUAACACAGGUGCUGCAUGGCUGUCGUCAGCUCGUGUCGUGAGAUGUUGGGUUAAGUCCCGCAACGAGCGCAACCCUUGUCAUUAGUUGCCAUCAUUCGGUUGGGCACUCUAAUGAGACUGCCGGUGACAAGCCGGAGGAAGGUGGGGAUGACGUCAAGUCCUCAUGGCCCUUAUGACCAGGGCUUCACACGUCAUACAAUGGUCGGUACAGAGGGUAGCCAAGCCGCGAGGCGGAGCCAAUCUCACAAAACCGAUCGUAGUCCGGAUUGCACUCUGCAACUCGAGUGCAUGAAGUCGGAAUCGCUAGUAAUCGCAGGUCAGCAUACUGCGGUGAAUACGUUCCCGGGUCUUGUACACACCGCCCGUCACACCAUGGGAGUGGGGGAUACCAGAAGUAGGUAGGGUAACCGCAAGGAGUCCGCUUACCACGGUAUGCUUCAUGACUGGGGUGAAGUCGUAACAAGGUAGCCGUAGGGGAACCUGCGGCUGGAUCACCU
Molecule: ribosomal RNA, 1529 nt
Filed under: Neisseria gonorrhoeae
Lineage: Bacteria; Pseudomonadati; Pseudomonadota; Betaproteobacteria; Neisseriales; Neisseriaceae
Description: bacterial SSU rRNA
Rfam family: Bacterial small subunit ribosomal RNA
Source: RNAcentral